RNAcentral lists this ribosomal RNA (569 nucleotides) under Vishniacozyma carnescens. RNAcentral's name for it is "partial large subunit ribosomal RNA". It matches the Rfam family "Eukaryotic large subunit ribosomal RNA", at positions 98 to 657 of the family's 3401-position model. The record is from RNAcentral. Lineage: Eukaryota; Fungi; Basidiomycota; Tremellomycetes; Tremellales; Bulleribasidiaceae.
CCGGGAUGAGCUCAAAUUUGAAAUCUGGCGUCUUUCAGGCGUCCGAGUUGUAAUCUAUAGAGGCGUUUUCCGCGCCGGACCGCGUCCAAGUCUCUUGGAAUAGAGUAUCAAAGAGGGUGACAAUCCCGUACUUGACGCGACAACCGGUGCUCUGUGAUACGUUCUCAAUGAGUCGAGUUGUUUGGGAAUGCAGCUCUAAAUGGGUGGUAAAUUCCAUCUAAGGCUAAAUAUUGGCGAGAGACCGAUAGCGAACAAGUACCGUGAGGGAAAGAUGAAAAGCACUUUGGAAAGAGAGUUAAACAGCACGUGAAAUUGUUAAAAGGGAAACGAUUGAAGUCAGUCGUGUGGGAAGUAUUCAGCCGUCUCUGGCGGUGUAUUUGCUUCUCACGGGUCAACAUCAGUUUGAUCCGGUAGAAAAAGGCGGGAAGAAGGUGGCACCCUCGGGUGUGUUAUAGCUUCCUGUCAUAUGUGCCGGACCAGACUGAGGAACGCAGCUUGCAGCAAUGCCGGGGUUCGCCCACGUACAAGCUUAGGAUGUUGACAUAAUGGCUUUAAACGACCCGUCUUGA